This 325-nucleotide ribosomal RNA is filed under the name uncultured eukaryote. RNAcentral's name for it is "partial 18S ribosomal RNA". It matches the Rfam family "Eukaryotic small subunit ribosomal RNA", at positions 1470 to 1796 of the family's 1831-position model. The record is from RNAcentral.
CCCUUAGAUGUUCUGGGCCGCACGCGCGCUACACUGAUGCAUUCAACGAGCCUAUCCUUGACCGACAGGUCCGGGUAAUCUUUGAAUCUGCAUCGUGACGGGGAUAGAUUAUUGCAAUUAUUAAUCUUCAACGAGGAAUGCCUAGUAGGCGCAAGUCAUCAGCUUGCGUCGAUUACGUCCCUGCCCUUUGUACACACCGCCCGUCGCUCCUACCGAUUGAGUGUGCUGGUGAAAUGUUCGGAUCGGCCGUUUGUCGCGGUUUCCGCGGCUCGUGGCUGAGAAGUUCAUUAAACCCUCCCACCUAGAGGAAGGAGAAGUCGUAACA